CCAGACUCUACGGGAGGCAGCAGUGGGGAAUCUUCCACAAUGGGCGAAAGCCUGAUGGAGCAACGCCGCGUGAGUGAAGAAGGUCUUCGGAUCGUAAGGCUCUGUUGCACGGGACGAAAACCGGGUUUGAGAAUAUUGAGCCCGGGUGACGGUACCGAGCGAGGAAGCCACGGCUAACUACGUGCCAGCAGCCGCGGUAAUACGUAGGUGGCGAGCGUUGUCCGGAAUUAUUGGGCGUAAAGGGAGCGCAGGCGGACAUAUAAGUCCAUCUUAAAAGUGCGGGGCUCAACCCCGUGAGGGGAUGGAAACUGUAUGCCUUGAGUGCAGGAGAGGAAAGCGGAAUUCCCAGUGUAGCGGUGAAAUGCGUAGAUAUUGGGAGGAACACCAGUGGCGAAGGCGGCUUUCUGGACUGUAACUGACGCUGAGGCUCGAAAGCCAGGGGAGCGAACGGGAUUAGAUACCCCGGUAGUCCUGGCCGUAAACGAUGAAUGCUAGGUGUAGGAGGUAUCGACCCCUCCUGUGCCGGAGUUAACGCAAUAAGCAUUCCGCCUGGGGAGUACGGUCGCAAGACUGAAACUCAAAGGAAUUGACGGGGGCCCGCACAAG
This 606-nucleotide ribosomal RNA is filed under the name uncultured bacterium. Its description in RNAcentral is "bacterial SSU rRNA". It matches the Rfam family "Bacterial small subunit ribosomal RNA", at positions 331 to 929 of the family's 1533-position model. The record is from RNAcentral.